This 496-nucleotide unclassified non-coding RNA is filed under the name Hevea brasiliensis (rubber tree). Lineage: Eukaryota; Viridiplantae; Streptophyta; Magnoliopsida; Malpighiales; Euphorbiaceae. The record is from RNAcentral.
AAGAACAGAUAGAUCUGUUGCAAGGAAUAUAGAGUUGGGUUUAGCAGCUUUACGUGGUGAGAAAGGUCCAGCCUACGAUAGAAUUGUUUUAAAUGCUGGAAUGGUUGACCAUUUGCUUGGGUCUGAUGGAGCUCAAGACAUAAGUGCAGCCUUUGAUAGAGCCAGAGAAGCCAUUGACAGUGGGAAGGCCCUCAGAGGACUCCUAAAUUACAUUAAGAUAUCUAACAAAGUAAUAUCAUAAUUAGAGGCCUGUAGGAUUUUUUCCUUCCUCCUUUGGUCAUUAUAAUCCCAGCAAACAAGUGCAAUAGUCUACGGAUAAUGAAAUUGAGAACCUUUCUUCCAUCUUAUAAAGCUGCUGUACAUGAACACGAAGAUUCACUGUUCCAGUUUUUCUUAAGCAAGCCUUUGUUGUCACCACUAGUUCACUGCUACUCCGAUAUGUUGAUACCACACACACAGUAAGGAUUUAGUGUUUCUGAUUGAAGUGCAACUUAUG